Molecule: ribosomal RNA, 449 nt
Filed under: uncultured bacterium
Lineage: Bacteria
Description: partial 16S ribosomal RNA
Rfam family: Bacterial small subunit ribosomal RNA
Source: RNAcentral
AACGGACGCUGGCGGCAUGCCUAACACAUGCAAGUCGAACGAGAUCUUCGGGUCUAGUGGCGCACGGGUGCGUAACGCGUGGGAAUCUGCCCUUUGGUUCGGAAUAACAGUGGGAAACGACUGCUAAUACCGGAUGAUGACGAAAGUCCAAAGAUUUAUCGCCAGAGGAUGAGCCCGCGUAGGAUUAGCUAGUUGGUGUGGUAAAGGCGCACCAAGGCGACGACACUUAGCUGGUCUGAGAGGAUGAUCAGCCACACUGGGACUGAGACACGGCCCAGACUCCUACGGGAGGCAGCAGUGGGGAAUAUUGGACAAUGGGCGAAAGCCUGAUCCAGCAAUGCCGCGUGAGUGAUGAAGGCCUUAGGGUUGUAAAGCUCUUUUACCCGGGAUGAUAAUGACAGUACCGGGAGAAUAAGCUCCGGCUAACUCCGUGCCAGCCGCCGCCGUAA